CCAGCCACAGGCCUCUUUUUUUUUUUUUUUAAUAAAAUUUGUUAUUAUUGCAAGGGGAAGGAGGAAAGGGCCUCCAGAUUGUGAAACAGGCGGAAGAGGAACAAUGUGAGUUCCCUGACAGCCCCCAGCCCAGGCCACAGUGCCGCCCUGCCCUCUGCCACACAGCAACCUACAUGGGAAACCCUUCCCAGCCCUUCCCUGCCCGUCCUCCCCCCACCUCCUCCUCCUCCUCUCCCGGAACACACAGGCACUAGUUAUUAGGGAUUAGGUGGAACAGAUGCAUGUAAGAUGCUUACUGCCUUUUCCAGACACAAGGCCACUUUCCAAUCAGCUCAGAGGAAACAGGGAGGCAGCUGAUGCGGGCCGGCUGGCUGCCAAGCAGGUCAGGCCUCUGCAGCUGAAACUGCCCGAGAUUCCUGAGCGGGAUGAUGAAUCAGCUGUGUCCUUUAGGACACAUCCUCUCUUGGACGUGCUGCUGGGAUGUGGUGUCCCUCUUCCCCGUGGUGAGAGUGUGCUCAGAGCUGCUGGCUGAUGACACUGGUAAUGUCCGUAGCCAGACAUAUGCUCAUGGCCUGGAAUGAAGUCGACUGCAAUUACAUCCUAAGGGAGUCACUCAACGGGGGUUUUGUGGAGGCAGGACACAGGCUCUGGUGGAGCUGCACAUGUGCUGUUAGAGCUCCAACUGCACUCACUCUGCCUUCAGCUUUGUGGGAACAAGGAGCAGCAGGCUCACAAAUACAGCCAGUCUGGUGCACAUCUGGAGGCAGUAAUUGGAGUGCCUGUCUCUGUGCUAGAUGAGAGCCUGUGGGGAGUUCAGGGAGUGCAGGUCUGGGCCGUGUAUCACCCUGUCACCAGGACCAAGCUGUGAGAGGUCAGUACAUGUGCACAGCUCAGAGCAAUGCAUGCUGUGCUGGGGAAGGGGGUGGGGAAUGGCAGGUUUGAAACCCUCACUGGUAUUUUAUCUUCCGUUUAGCAUGGCUCAGGUUUGUCAACAAAACAUCAUGGUCCUGAAAUGUCAAGCCUGAGGUGGAACUGGGAAAAGAACAUCCUAGAGGUCCUGGGUUUCUGUCUAGGGCUUUGGACACAGCUUCAGUCGAAGAUUCGCCCUUCCUGAAAGGAGAGACAUGUCAAAGUGUAAUGUUUACAUCAAUUAUGUGAAGUCCAUUCAGGCCUAUUCAACCCCCUGUCUCUGCAUAACUUUUUUUUGGCAAGCAUUAACCAGUAAGGAAGGGAGUAAAUCUUGCUUGAAGUUAUUUUUCUUCCUGCUCCUGUGUCCCACCCCCAGGCGCCCCACUGCAGGUGCUACAGAGGCAAAAACCAGUGCUCCUGCAGAGACAGAUUAGCAGCACACAAAAUGAUCUCCCUCCUCCUUGUGCACCCCAGAGCCUGGAAACUCCCCCAUCUCUCCAGCCUUGCAGCCCAGCUGUCCCAAACCCCAGACAGCAGGGAUGGAUAACAGCAGGCUGCUCUGCACUGCAGCCCAGGCGAUAGAG
RNAcentral lists this long non-coding RNA (1493 nucleotides) under Chloebia gouldiae (Gouldian finch). RNAcentral's name for it is "Erythrura gouldiae (Gouldian finch) lncRNA (ENSEGOG00005006741.1)". Lineage: Eukaryota; Metazoa; Chordata; Aves; Passeriformes; Passeridae. The record is from RNAcentral.